This 447-nucleotide ribosomal RNA is filed under the name uncultured Nitrososphaerota archaeon. RNAcentral's name for it is "bacterial SSU rRNA". It matches the Rfam family "Archaeal small subunit ribosomal RNA", at positions 340 to 788 of the family's 1478-position model. The record is from RNAcentral. Lineage: Archaea; Thermoproteati; Nitrososphaerota.
CGCGGAACCUUUACAAUGCACGCAAGUGUGAUAAGGGGACCCUAAGUGCUCAUGAAUUUCAUGGGCUUUUGCCAAGAGUAAAUAUCUUGGAGAAUAAGUGGUGGGUAAGACUGGUGCCAGCCGCCGCGGUAACACCAGCGCCACGAGUGGCAACCACGUUUAUUGGGCCUAAAGCGUCCGUAGCCGGUUUGGUAAAUCUCUUGUGAAAUCGUCAGGCUCAACCUGACGGCGUGCAUGAGACACUGCCAAACUUGAGACCGGGAGGAGUCAAAGGUAUUUCAGGGGGAGCGGUAAAAUGUGAUAAUCCCUGGAAGAUCACCUAUGGCGAAGGCAUUUGACUAGAACGGAUCUGACGGUCAGGGACGAAGGCUAGGGGAGCGAUCCGGAUUAGAUACCCGAGUAGUCCUAGCAGUAAACGCUGCGAGCUAGAUGUUGCACUUCUCACGA